This 72-nucleotide transfer RNA is filed under the name Camelus bactrianus (Bactrian camel). It matches the Rfam family "tRNA". From Rfam's summary of the family: Transfer RNA (tRNA) molecules are approximately 80 nucleotides in length. Lineage: Eukaryota; Metazoa; Chordata; Mammalia; Artiodactyla; Camelidae. RNAcentral also lists the same sequence under 1 other name. The record is from Rfam by way of RNAcentral.
GUGCGUAUAGCCCAAUGGUGGGGCGCAUGCUUAGCGUGCACGAGGUCCUGGGUUCAGUCCCCAGUACCUCCA